UACGGGAGGCAGCAGUGGGGAAUAUUGCACAAUGGGCGCAAGCCUGAUGCAGCCAUGCCGCGUGUAUGAAGAAGGCCUUCGGGUUGUAAAGUACUUUCAGUCGUGAGGAAGGUGUUAAGGUUAAUAACCUUAGCAAUUGACGUUAGCGACAGAAGAAGCACCGGCUAACUCCGUGCCAGCAGCCGCGGUAAUACGGAGGGUGCGAGCGUUAAUCGGAAUUACUGGGCGUAAAGGGCACGCAGGCGGUUAAUAAGUUGGAUGUGAAAUCCCCGGGCUUAACCUGGGAAUGGCAUUCAAGACUGGUUAGCUAGAGUCUUGUAGAGGGGGUAGAAUUCCAUGUGUAGCGGUGAAAUGCGUAGAGAUGUGGAGGAAUACCGGUGGCGAAGGCGGCCCCUGGACAAGACUGACGCUCAUGUGCGAAAGCGUGGGGAGCAAACGAGGGAUUAGAUACC
This 452-nucleotide ribosomal RNA is filed under the name uncultured bacterium. Its description in RNAcentral is "bacterial SSU rRNA". It matches the Rfam family "Bacterial small subunit ribosomal RNA", at positions 340 to 786 of the family's 1533-position model. The record is from RNAcentral.